AGCGGAGACCACAAUUCCCGGCAUUCGUGGGGCGAGGAGGAGUCGGCCUCCCGGAAUCCUGGUCCCGGCGUGCACUUCUGGAGGACUUCAGGCACCCUUUCUUGGGCCGCGAAGUCCCUAUCUCGAACGGCUCAGGAUUCGUGGUGGCUGCCGAUGGGCUCAUUGUCACCAACGCCCAUGUGGUGGCUGAUCGGCGCAGAGUCCGUGUGAGACUGCUUAGCGGCGACACGUAUGAGGCCGUGGUCACAGCUGUGGAUCCCGUGGCAGACAUCGCAACGCUGAGGAUUCAGACUAAGGAGCCUCUCCCCACGCUGCCUCUGGGACGCUCAGCGGAUGUCCGGCAAGGGGAGUUUGUUGUUGCCAUGGGAAGUCCCUUUGCACUGCAGAACACGAUCACAUCCGGCAUUGUUAGCUCUGCUCAGCGUCCAGCCAGAGACCUGGGACUCCCCCAAACCAAUGUGGAAUACAUUCAGACUGAUGCAGCUAUUGAUUUUGGAAACUCUGGAGGUCCCCUGGUUAACCUGGUGAGUGAGACAUCCUUCCUUCCAAGAAUCCCUGCCCCAGGAUGGGGAGGUGAUUGGAGUGAACACCAUGAAGGUCACAGCUGGAAUCUCCUUUGCCAUCCCUUCUGAUCGUCUUCGAGAGUUUCUGCAUCGUGGGGAAAAGAAGAAUUCCUCCUCUGGAAUCAGUGGGUCCCAGCGGCGCUACAUUGGGGUGAUGAUGCUGACCCUGAGUCCCAG
RNAcentral lists this small RNA (740 nucleotides) under Pongo abelii (Sumatran orangutan). RNAcentral's name for it is "processed transcript". Lineage: Eukaryota; Metazoa; Chordata; Mammalia; Primates; Hominidae. The record is from RNAcentral.